This 252-nucleotide ribosomal RNA is filed under the name uncultured bacterium. Its description in RNAcentral is "partial 16S ribosomal RNA". It matches the Rfam family "Bacterial small subunit ribosomal RNA", at positions 524 to 776 of the family's 1533-position model. The record is from RNAcentral.
UACGUAGGGUGCAAGCGUUGUCCGGAAUUAUUGGGCGUAAAGAGCUCGUAGGCGGUUCGUCGCGUCGGCUGUGAAAACCUGAGGCUCAACCUCAGGCCUGCAGUCGAUACGGGCGGACUUGAGUACUGCAGGGGAGACUGGAAUUCCUGGUGUAGCGGUGAAAUGCGCAGAUAUCAGGAGGAACACCGGUGGCGAAGGCGGGUCUCUGGGCAGUAACUGACGCUGAGGAGCGAAAGCGUGGGAGCGAACAGG